Molecule: ribosomal RNA, 464 nt
Filed under: Vreelandella stevensii
Lineage: Bacteria; Pseudomonadati; Pseudomonadota; Gammaproteobacteria; Oceanospirillales; Halomonadaceae
Description: partial 16S ribosomal RNA
Rfam family: Bacterial small subunit ribosomal RNA
Source: RNAcentral
CCUACGGGGGGCUGCAGUGGGGAAUAUUGGACAAUGGGCGAAAGCCUGAUCCAGCCAUGCCGCGUGUGUGAAGAAGGCCUUCGGGUUGUAAAGCACUUUCAGUGGGGAAGAAAGCCUUGGGGCUAAUACCCUCGAGGAAGGACAUCACCCACAGAAGAAGCACCGGCUAACUCCGUGCCAGCAGCCGCGGUAAUACGGAGGGUGCGAGCGUUAAUCGGAAUUACUGGGCGUAAAGCGCGCGUAGGCGGUCUGAUAAGCCGGUUGUGAAAGCCCCGGGCUCAACCUGGGAACGGCAUCCGGAACUGUCAGGCUAGAGUGCAGGAGAGGAAGGUAGAAUUCCCGGUGUAGCGGUGAAAUGCGUAGAGAUCGGGAGGAAUACCAGUGGCGAAGGCGGCCUUCUGGACUGACACUGACGCUGAGGUGCGAAAGCGUGGGUAGCAAACAGGAUUAGAUACCCUAUAGUC